AAAUUAGCCAGGUGUGGUGGUGUGUGCCUAUAGCACCAGCUACUCAGGAGGCUGAGGUGGGAGGAUCACUGGAGCCCAGGGGUUUGAGGCUGCAGUGAGCUAUGAUCACACCACUGCCCUCCAGCCUGGGCAACAGAGUGAGACCAUGUCUCUUAAAAAAAAAAAAAGAAGGAUACUAGAUGAAGAUGAGGAGCAGGGGUGUGGCGUGAGGAGGACAGACCAGCUAGGAGGAGGAGCCUCUGGGCAAGAGAUGAGGUGACCUGGUCAGGGCCCGUGGCCAUGGAGAUGGCAGGCAUGGACACGGUGAAGCUAUAUUUUGGAGAAGAAUCUAGAGGACUUUCUGAUGAUCAGAUGUCGAAGUGCAGGACAGAGGAGACUCUCAGGCCACUUCCAGCUGCCCCUACCCAGUGGCCUUGUGGGAAUCAGGAAAAGGGCUCCUCUAAACAAGCAUGCAGCACAGGGCACCCGUGCAAGACCCUCACCCUGAGACCCUCCCUUGCAAGUGCGAAGUUGCUCAAGCCCCUGAUUCUCACUCAGAGACCUGGUCAAUUUUGGACUUGCAAAGCUUGUAGUGUCUGUGGCAAUCCAAGGGGAGCCCUGGGCUCUGCCCAAGGUUUAGGGACCAUUUCAACACAGUGAUUCUACCCCUGGCUCCAGCUGUGUGUGAAGUUUCUUCCCUCCCUGCCUGGGCACCAGACUUUUUACAGUACUCACUGCAUUGGACGCAACUAACCUUGUGAAGAAAAGAGUUUUUAAAACCCUGGAAGCUAAUGUUACAAGACUAUUUAGCACUUAAAUAAAUGCAAGUUCUAGAACAUCUGCAGCCAAAAUGAAAGUAAAUAAUGACAGAAUGUGAGUCAUGAGUAGUUUGCAAAGAUUGUAAACAAAGCAUCCUCCCAAAUUCAGAGCCAUGGCCUGAGAGUUGGGUACCAAUUAAUCAGCCCUUAACUCUAUCACACACAAAAGGACACGUGUCCUCAUUAGCAAGUCAUGAGGGGAACUUAGCUAACUGACUGUCACUUUGCUAUCUGGAGUUCACUUAAAACUGAAAUAAAAAGCUUAUUCCCUGAAGAACAGAGCACUCAUGCUCACAUUGUUUGAAAGAAUCACUUCACUGCCAGUGUCAAGACUUCCCGAAGGCCCUGUCCAGGCAGAGGAUGGACCAAAAAGGGAGCUGGGUAGGAGACAGAAGGUUUGGCUCCUGUCCCAGACUCUGCCACUCACAAGCAUGUGCUCAUGUGAGCCACGUCAUCCAUUUUGGUGUUCCCAUCUCUAAAACAGGAGGAAUAGCUGUCCCCCCACUUUUUAAGGGUUUGCGAUGACGCGAUGGGAAAGAAGCACUUGGAAAGGGGUUCCACAAGUGUGAUGUGGUUCCCCUCACACCUCAGAGGGGAGUUCUGCAAUUGAGAAGGCGGGGCAGUGGAGGACCACGGUUAGACAUGGUGUGCAACUUACUCUCAGAAAGCCAGCAGGUAAGCAGAGUGGAUUUGGAGGUAUAAUGAAUGACUGCAAAGUCACAGAAGACAAGGCCACCCAGGCUGUGCUCUCUGCACAUGGGAACUAGAAAUCAGAGUACAAAAUAUGGAGCCAGCAGAUAACACAAAUAUGGGAGUGGCCUGCUGUAAGGCAAUAGGGAAUGGUGGGGCCUGCAGCCAACUAGAGAUUACAAUCAUGCUCUGCUUCAGGCAUUUGCAAAAAGAUUUAAAACUUACACCCCAUGAAACAGCAAAACGCAUCUAUGGCCUGCUGGCUGGGAGUCUGAGACCCCUGCAGAUGGCUGUAUCAAGCAUGUCUUUUUUUUUUUCAAAUGGAGUCUCGCUCUGUGGCCCAGACUGGGUGCAGUGCCACAAUCUCAGCUCACUGCAACCUCUGCCUCCCAGGUUCCAGUGAUUCUCCUGCCUGAGGCUCCCCAGUAGCUGGGAUUACAGGUGUGCGCCACCACACCGGCUAAUUUUUGUAUUUUUAGUAGAGACGGAGUUUCACCACGUUGGCCAGGCUGGUCUCAAACUCCUGACUUUAGGUGAUCCGCCCGCCCCAACCUCCCAAAGUGCUGGGAUUACAGGCGUGAGCCACCAUGCUGGGUCUCUAGCACGUCUUUUUAUUCCAAUGCUCACUUGGGGCCUUGCUGACACUGGAGAGACUGCCCCUCCCGGGCAGGGCCCCCUAAUUCCUAGAGAUAGUAAACAACUAGGGUGUACCUUUAAUAUGCAAAGCAACCAAUCCAGAGCAUGUAACCCAGAUGCCUCCUUGAUCAGACUCUCACACUGGGGGCCAUGACCCAUCUGCCCUAAGCACCUCACGGGCUGGCCAGACAACUAGGGACAGUCCCUAUACCCCAGAGCCUGCUGAAAUGACUCAAACCAGCCCGUCCGAAGCCUGUUUACCCUGCUUGCCUUUUCCAAAGAAACCACAGUAGAGGCUCUUGCCCACAUUUUCCCUCUGGGCUGCCUCCUGACCCUGGUGCUUCCCCCACGUGGCCCUGCAUGACUAUCGCAUGCCACCUCAGCUUAGGAACUGCGAGCAACAAACUCUCUCCAGUGGCAGUUGUCUCCUGACUGUUGGCCUCAUUAGGCCUGAAUAGUAAGAAAACCUGUAUUUUCAUACAUCUGUAAACCCCACCGGAGCACAGAUCAUCAUUGCUGCUUUAUUUCCCCCUGUGAAUCUCGGCACCUAGCACAGUCUCUGGCACGUUGAAAACACAAUUUCUUUCUCUUUCUUUCUUUUUU
Molecule: long non-coding RNA, 2726 nt
Filed under: Homo sapiens (human)
Lineage: Eukaryota; Metazoa; Chordata; Mammalia; Primates; Hominidae
Description: HSALNT0168971
Source: RNAcentral